Long non-coding RNA from Penaeus monodon (black tiger shrimp), 754 nucleotides. RefSeq lists it as uncharacterized. NCBI's taxonomy places the organism in Eukaryota, Metazoa, Arthropoda, Malacostraca, Decapoda, Penaeidae. The transcript is spliced from 6 exons. The record is from RefSeq and is a predicted model, not a curated record.
ACCCUAAUCUUAAAAUUUCAGAAUUGCCGAAGCAGACGUGACAGCAACACUUCCGAAAUUAGCCUUUCAGUUGAAUCUGCGUUAGAAUGCUUCGACUUCCUUAAUGCUGAAUGUGAUGAUGAUUUUGAAGAUGAUAAUCAGAUGCAUGUGAGGAAAAGAAGAAAAAAGAAGCAGCAGCUGUGUUUGCAGGUCCAUCAUUACCAGACACAAGUCAGCCUCUGGUCACUGGUACACCUCAGUUGGAUUCUUUCCUCUACACUCAUCUGAAACAUGCUCUUCAGUUGUUGCAACAUCUUGGAUCCUUUGGGCCCCUCAGGAGUAAGGAACGACACUCACUACAGCUCCUGGAGAAUGAAGGGCAACUUGUAGCAAGAGUUUUAGCUCAUAGACACAACUUUGACAGUCUUAAACCACAGCAUAUUAUCACAGUUCCACAUGUACAGGUUCUCUGGGACUCUGUGUCUGGAGGAGAUGACUGGUGCAUCCAGGACAAGCAGUUGUAAAUGGCUUACAGCAGCUCGUGUCAACUUUAGUGGAUCCGACAGUACCAGGUUUAGCAAGAAGAGUGCUGGAAGACAUUGUAAGAUCAAUGACUGAUAGUGAAGAAUAUGAUGGAAAUUCAGUAGUGACUGUUGGCCACUUCCUUCAACAUCUGCAUCGGCCUCUUCAACACACUGUGCCAGCAACAGCACACAAUCUUGCAAUUGCUGACCUUCUGCUGUCCUGCAAACACAGCAAAAGUGGAAGCUGGUCU